UAACAGCCAAUCGCGUGAGCGAUUGAAGUGGAAAGCCCGCAGGUACGAGGACUUGGAGCGGAAAGCGCGGUGCCGG
RNAcentral lists this unclassified non-coding RNA (76 nucleotides) under Chitinophaga sp. YR627. RNAcentral's name for it is "Flavo-1 RNA". Lineage: Bacteria; Pseudomonadati; Bacteroidota; Chitinophagia; Chitinophagales; Chitinophagaceae. The record is from RNAcentral.